Molecule: long non-coding RNA, 225 nt
Organism: Dromaius novaehollandiae (emu)
Lineage: Eukaryota; Metazoa; Chordata; Aves; Casuariiformes; Dromaiidae
Exons: 3
Source: RefSeq, a predicted model, not a curated record
CUUAGACAACACAGACUUCAGAUUUCAAAUACAUUCUUGAACUUUUAUUUCUCCCAAAAGCCAUGCUCUGUGAGUUUCAACAAUCACAAUAUUGUCUGAACGGCCUAUCUUUGAAUCUUACUCCCUCUACGUGUCCCUGGAGACAGUGGGAAGCCUGUGGCCUGCUCUGAAAAGCCGCAAUACUUACUUCUUGUGUGAGUCGUCUGGUGAAGAAAGGAUUCAAAU